CAGUAGCCGCGGGAAUACCAGCACCUCGAGUGGUCAGGAGGUUUAUUGGGCCUAAAGCAUCCGUAGCCGGUUGCAUAAGUUUUCGGUUAAAUCUAUGCGCUUAACGUAUAGGCCGCCGAAAAUACUGUGCAGCUAGGGAGUGGGAGAGGUACACGGUACUCGAUAGGAAGGGGUAAAAUCCUUUGAUCUAUUGAUGACCACCUGUGGCGAAGGCGGUGUACCAGAACACGUUCGACGGUGAGGGAUGAAAGCUGGGGGAGCAAACAGGAUUAGAUACCCGUGUAGUCCCUGUCUCUUAUAC
Molecule: ribosomal RNA, 301 nt
Filed under: uncultured bacterium
Lineage: Bacteria
Description: partial 16S ribosomal RNA
Rfam family: Archaeal small subunit ribosomal RNA
Source: RNAcentral